AUGCUAUUUACCUUCUUCCCCUACUACUAUUUGUUUCCAUUAGUAGUCUCACAAAAAGUGCCUAGCGAUAUCUCAAACAAGAAGCUUAGUAAUGGGAAAAAAUCUUUCAAUGUGAUUCUCUCAAAAGAUUUUCAAGGCUGCAUAUCAGAUUUUGGUCUAACAUCUCUAACAAGUUUAUGUGUCUCCUCUAAAGUCCUCCGGUCUACCAAGCAGCGGAGGAUGAUUGAAGAUACCAGAGUAUCAACUUAUUAG
Vicia faba (fava bean) is the source of this 252-nucleotide non-coding RNA. The record is from the annotation of a GenBank genome assembly. NCBI's taxonomy places the organism in Eukaryota, Viridiplantae, Streptophyta, Magnoliopsida, Fabales, Fabaceae.